This 217-nucleotide ribosomal RNA is filed under the name uncultured bacterium. Its description in RNAcentral is "partial 16S ribosomal RNA". It matches the Rfam family "Bacterial small subunit ribosomal RNA", at positions 524 to 739 of the family's 1533-position model. The record is from RNAcentral.
GACGAACCGUGCGAACGUUGUUCGGAAUCACUGGGCUUAAAGGGCGCGUAGGCGGGCUGCCGCGUCCGGGGUGAAAUCCCACGGCUCAACCGUGGAACGGCCUCGGAUACGGGCGGCCUCGAGGGGGGUAGGGGCAUCUGGAACUGUGAGUGGAGCGGUGAAAUGCGUUGAUAUUCACAGGAACGUCCGGUGGCGAAGGCGAGGUGCUGGACCCCUU